RNAcentral lists this long non-coding RNA (3272 nucleotides) under Nicotiana tabacum (common tobacco). Its description in RNAcentral is "long non-coding RNA (NTAB_LNC017900)". Lineage: Eukaryota; Viridiplantae; Streptophyta; Magnoliopsida; Solanales; Solanaceae. The record is from RNAcentral.
UCUUAGUCAUCUACUCCUCUCUAAUCCAGCGAUCAUUAUCCCUUCCCACCUGCUCAUAAAAUACCAAUUAUGAAAACCGUAACCCCAAUCUUGAAAGAGAAGGAAACGACUCCCCUUCAAAAAAAGUCAUCUCUAUCCUGACACAUUUUUCAUUUUUCAAAAGCAGCAGAUGGGCAAAAGCUUUUGAGCUCAAAGUACGGACCCCCCUCCCAUUUCAAAAAAAGAACAAAACAACUCAAAAGAAAAUGGACAAAAACAGAUACAUACAUAGAGGAACGAAAAAGUGACAAAUUUGAGGGGAAUUAAAAGAUUAGACGCCAUUUGCUAUCAACGUGAACUGCUGCUUUUCUUGUUCUUCGAUUCAGCUAAAUUGAGUCCGUUCGCGGCUCGAUUCACGGUUCCGUCGAGGUUGGCUGUCUCUUAGCUUUUCUUUUUCUUCCUAUAAAGUGCUUCAUCGAUGCUUGUUUUAUAUUGCAGCACUUUGGUUCGUAUAAAUGAAAGAUUUGUUGAUUAAUUUGGGUGUAGCAGCUUUACUUUAUAUUUCACUCUUCUUCUACUUUCGAUUCUGACGAUGUUAAUUGAUUUGUCAUAAUCUCGUCCAAGCAUGCCAGAUUUGCUCUGUAUUUCUUAUUCAAGCCUCGGGUCUUAUCUAUUAUUGUAACGACCUAAUUGGUUGUUUUGCUUUUUAGAACCCCGUUCCAAUAGAUAAGACUUCCCGUACUUGCUUUUACUUAUUUAUGACUUGCAGGAAUGGUUGGUUCGGGAUUUGGAAGAGUUUGGAUUGAAAUCAAACAUUUGGUUCCUUAAGGUUGGCUAAAAAGGUCAAGUUUGACUUCGGUCAACGUUUUGAGUAAACGACCUCGGAAUUCGAAUUUUAAGGUUCCAACAGGUUCAUAUGAUGAUUUCGAACUUGAGCGUAUGUCCGAAUCGGGUUUUGGAUGACCCGGGAGCGUUUUGGUGCCUAAUAGUGAAAGUUGAUUCCUUAUUUUGAAGUUCUUAAAUAUUUGGUUUGAAGUGGAUUUUUGUGUUAUUAAGGUCCAAACGGAGUUCCGAGACCGGGAAUAGUUCUGUAUUGCCAUUUAAGACUUGCACACAAAAUUUGGUAUAAAUCCAAGUAGUGUAAGUGUGUUUCGUCGCAUUGGAGGUAAAUUGAAGAAUUUAAAGUUCACAAGUUUGAUCCACUUGGUUUUAGGGGGUGAUUCUUAGAUUUAGCAUUGUUUUGGGCGUUCCGAGGGUUCGCGCAAGUCCGUUAUAUGAUUUCAAACUUGUCGGUAUGUUCGGGCAGGACCUGGGGACCCCGAGUGUCAAUCAGACGAGGCUCGAUGAAGUUGUAAAAUUUUGAAAGGAGCUGAAACUCCAGGUAUCUGUCAUAACUGCACCUGCGGUUGGUCAGCUGCAGGUGCGAGACCGCAGAAGCGGUCGAGCCCUCGCAGGUGCGGCCAAGGGGGAGGAGCCCAGGAACCGCAAAUGCGGCUCCUUUUCCGCAGAAACGGACCUGCAGGAGCGGCCCCAGACCGCAGAAGCGGUCCCAGCCAGCCCAGCCCAGCUCCACAGAUGCGGACAUUCACCCGCAGAAGCGAGUUGCCCCGAACCGCAGGUGCGAAAAUCGUUGAAGGCAGUGCCUUCAUUUAAUACGGGAAUGUGCCAUUUUUUUACACAUUUCCUUCAUUGUUUGGGCGAUUUGGGAGCUUCCAAAGAGGGAAUUUCAAUCUAUCAUUGUGAGGUAAGUUAUUUCUACUUAAUGUGAGUUUAAUACUUGGGUUUUGGGUAGAUUAACACAUAAAGAUUAGUGAAAAUCAUGGGAUUAGAGUAAAACCUAGGGUUUUGAUAAAAACAAGAUUUAACCACGAACUUUAUUAUGCAAUGAAACAGAAAUCAUAUAUUCUUGAUCCUUAGGUUAUGAGUAACAACUUCCCUCAAAAAAAAAAAUUGGAAUCCGGGUACGUGGACCCGGGGAUGGAUUUUAGGAAACUUGUAUUUAGGGUUGGGGAAUUACUUUAAUAGUUGGAAUAUGAACUCUUGAGCUUGUAUUGACUAGUUCUUACCCCGUUUAAUUAGUUAUGGAUCGUUCGGCUGCGGAGUUAAGGGUUUGAGCACAUUCUUGAUAUUGGAAGUAAGCUUUGGAGCGAGGUGAGUCUCCUUUCUAACCUCGUAAGAGGGAAAUAAACCCCUAAGUGAAUCUAAUAAAUGUAUGAGAUUGUUUGUGGCGGCUACGUACGUACGUGAUGACGAGAGUCUGUGCGUAGCUACUAUUAUGCUAAUUGUACGAGUAGUUUCGGACCCGUAUUAUGCCAUACUUGCAAAUGCUUAUAUUCUUUCAUGCUAAUGAGAUCACUUAGGACAUGUUAGGGAUUGAAAAUAAACAUAAACGAACGUAUGCACUUACUUGAGAACUUGUGUGAACUUAUUUGAAUAUGAUUGCGCCUUUAUGUGCCUUCUUGAUAAUAAUUGAUUAUUGUGGAUCGGGCCGAUUGCCUCGGUAGAAAUAGAUGCAUCUAUGGUUCGCGCCAUUCGACCCUCUGGCAGUGCAUAAUUUCUUUUAUGUUGGACCGGGCUGUAUGACUUCGGCAUAAUGUGCGUAUGAUAUUUAUGUGAAAUCUUAUCCAUGACUUACUCUGUUAAAUGCCUUGAAGUGCAAUUAUUCUAAGACAUGGCCGAAAGUGAUAUACUGUACUCUUUAAAUUCUGAGCUUGCCAUUAUGUUCAUGUUAUCCAUACUUAGUGUAAUAUUUAAUUAUUAUUGGCAUUGACCUUAGUAAGUGUCAAGUCGACCUCUCGUCACUACUUCUUCGAGGUUAGACUGGAUACUUGCUGGGUACAUGUUGUUUAUGUACUCAUACUACGCUUCUGUACUUAAUUGUACAGGAUCUGAGGCAGGUACAUCUGGCUACCCAUCUGGUGUGCAUCCUUGAUAGUAGGCCGAGAUUCCACGAUGAGCUGCUCCCUUCCUAUGCCGUCCAGCAGCAUGAUGGAGUCUCUCUUUGUUUUGACUGUCUAUUCUAUUUCAGACAGUAGGACAGAUUUAUUCUUUUGUAUAUUUUACUAGAUGCCCAUAUACUUGUUACACCAGGUCUUGACACACACAUUGGUAGACUAUUCUUUUGGGUUGUAUAUCUAUUACUUUAAGUUUUUAAUUAUCACUUGUUUUAAAUUCAAGUUAAGAAAAUGCUGGAGUUGUUUUGGUAAAGUAAAAUGAGAACACACUAAUAUCUUCGAGUUGGCUUACCUGACAAUGAUGUUGGGCAUCAUCAUAACCUAUAAUAAAAUUGGGUC